This 253-nucleotide ribosomal RNA is filed under the name uncultured bacterium. RNAcentral's name for it is "partial 16S ribosomal RNA". It matches the Rfam family "Bacterial small subunit ribosomal RNA", at positions 524 to 776 of the family's 1533-position model. The record is from RNAcentral.
CACGUAGGGCGCGAGCGUUGUCCGGAAUUAUUGGGCGUAAAGAGCUCGUAGGCGGCCUGUUGCGUCCGCUGUGAAAGCCCGGGGCUUAACCCCGGGUCGGCAGUGGAUACGGGCAGGCUAGAGGUAGGUAGGGGAGACUGGAAUUCCUGGUGUAGCGGUGAAGUGCGCAGAUAUCAGGAGGAACACCGAUGGCGAAGGCAGGUCUCUGGGCAUUAACUGACGCUGAGGAGCGAAAGCAUGGGGAGCGAACAGG